AUGCUCCAUCCACUUCAGUUUCAGAUUUUGCUCUCUUUUGAUGAACAAAGCGUAACGCUUGAGACAGAAGCUUGUCUCGGUGAGUGUUUCAACGAAAACACUGUUAAAUUGGAGAGAAAACCAAAUAAUAUUGCAUAUUCAGAGAUGUUGAUCGAAAGAAGAACGAUGAUAAUUGUUGACUCAAUUCAUGGUUGCAGAUUCUUGCUGCAGUCAUUGAAGUUGCGAUGA
Non-coding RNA from Vicia faba (fava bean), 228 nucleotides. NCBI's taxonomy places the organism in Eukaryota, Viridiplantae, Streptophyta, Magnoliopsida, Fabales, Fabaceae. The record is from the annotation of a GenBank genome assembly.